GACGGAGGGGGCUAGCGUUGCUCGGAAUUACUGGGCGUAAAGCGCGCGUAGGCGGUGAGGUAAGUUGGGCGUGAAAGCCCAGGGCUCAACCCUGGAAUUGCGCUCAAAACUACCACACUAGAGUUCGGGAGAGGAGAGUGGAAUUCCCAGUGUAGAGGUGAAAUUCGUAGAUAUUGGGAAGAACACCAGUGGCGAAGGCGGCUCUCUGGCCCGAUACUGACGCUGAGGUGCGAAAGCGUGGGGAGCAAAC
Molecule: ribosomal RNA, 250 nt
Filed under: uncultured bacterium
Lineage: Bacteria
Description: partial 16S ribosomal RNA
Rfam family: Bacterial small subunit ribosomal RNA
Source: RNAcentral